CCUACGGGUGGCAGCAGUGGGGAAUAUUGCACAAUGGGGGAAACCCUGAUCCAGCGACGCCGCGUGAGCGAAGAAGUAUCUCGGUAUGGAAAGCUUUAUUAGCAGAGAAGCAAAUGACGGUACCUGAGUAAGAAGCUCCGUCUAAAUACGUGCCAGCAGCCGCGGUAAUACGUAUGGAGCAAGCGUUAUCCGGAUUUACUGGGCGUAAAGGGAGCGUAGGCGGCCUGCCAGGUCUGAUGUGAAAUACCGGGGCUCAACCCCGGGGCUGCAGUGGAAACUGGCAGGCUGGAGUGCCGGAGAGGCAGGCGGAAUUCGUGGUGUAGCGGUGAAAUGCGUAGAUAUUACGAGGAACACCAAUGGCGAAGGCAGCCUGCUGGACGGUGACUGACGCUGAGGCUCGAAAGCGUGGGGAGCAAACAGGAUUAGAUACCCUAGUAGUC
This 440-nucleotide ribosomal RNA is filed under the name uncultured bacterium. Its description in RNAcentral is "partial 16S ribosomal RNA". It matches the Rfam family "Bacterial small subunit ribosomal RNA", at positions 338 to 795 of the family's 1533-position model. The record is from RNAcentral.